UUACAUGUGAAUUUGACAACAACAAGGCAUUGUCUUAGUUUUAAGGCAAUUUCAUUGACAACAUUCUACAAAAAACGCUUUACUCUUCCCCUCUCAGAUCAGCUGAGUUCCGAGCUACGAACAAGCAACCAUUGCCUGGGCUACCUGUGCUCCUUCCCAGCGCGGUCAAGCGUAACUAAUCGUACAACGGCGUCGGUCAAGGAUGCUUGUGGCUACUUUCUCGUUUUAAAAUACGGCUAGCGGCCAGGUAAAAUGAUUUAGCUCGGAAGUUUUGCCGCACAUCGGAUGUAAAACCAACCAAGGACUACCUGAGUGCCAUGAUUGAUUAUAAAGGCUGGAAGGCAUAAUAAUAGGCAAAUAUUGAGAUAAUAUAGUAGGGGAUUUCUUACUUUUAUACAACAGUAUAAGCUUGGAUGUAAAUAAGCUUGUUACGAUUAAUAAGCUUGUUAUUUACAUCCUUGGAUGUAAAUAAGCUUGUUACGAUUCACCUUCUUCAGUCUGCCCUGAAGAAGUCCUAUCAAAGACGAAAAUUUGGCAGAGCCGAUUUCCAGUUUUUGGUGUAUUAUAUCUUUGGAAUGCUGUUUCAUUCAUUAUUUGUUUCUUUGCAAGGGCAAAGCUGGUCAGAAUGUAGCUUUGAUAAAAGUUCUAUACUUCUAUAAAAGGAAGAGGUUUUUAUUAGAUCAAAGUACUUAAAUUAUAUAAAGAUAACAACAAACUUGUGCUUUUUCAAUAAUAAAUUUGUAAAGAAAACA
Nematostella vectensis (starlet sea anemone) is the source of this 752-nucleotide long non-coding RNA. RefSeq lists it as uncharacterized. NCBI's taxonomy places the organism in Eukaryota, Metazoa, Cnidaria, Anthozoa, Actiniaria, Edwardsiidae. The record is from RefSeq and is a predicted model, not a curated record. The transcript is spliced from 2 exons.